This 492-nucleotide ribosomal RNA is filed under the name uncultured bacterium. RNAcentral's name for it is "partial 16S ribosomal RNA". It matches the Rfam family "Bacterial small subunit ribosomal RNA", at positions 29 to 507 of the family's 1533-position model. The record is from RNAcentral.
AGUGAACGCUGGCGGUAGGCCUAACACAUGCAAGUCGAAUGGCAGCACAGUAAGAGCUUGCUCUUACGGGUGGCGAGUGGCGGACGGGUGAGGAAUACAUCGGAAUCUACUUUUUCGUGGGGGUUAACGUAGGGAAACUUACGCUAAUACCGCAUACGACCUACGGGUGAAAGCAUGGGAUCUUCGGACCUUGCGCGAUUGAAUGAGCCGAUGUCGGAUUAGUUAGUUUGCGGGGUAAAGGCCCACCAAGGCGACGAUCCGUAGCUGGUCUGAGAGGAUGAUCAGCCACACUGGAACUGAGACACGGUCCAGACUCCUACGGGAGGCAGCAGUGGGGAAUAUUGGACAAUGGGCGCAAGCCUGAUCCAGCCAUACCGCAUGGGUGAAGAAGGCCUUCGGGUUGUAAAGCCCUUUUGUUGGGAAAGAAAAGCAGCAGGUUAAUACCCCGCUGUUCUGACGGUACCCAAAGAAUAAGCACCGGCUAACUUCGUG